GAUGAAGAACGUAGCGAAAUGCGAUAAGUAAUGUGAAUUGCAGAAUUCAGUGAAUCAUCGAAUCUUUGAACGCACCUUGCACCCUUUGGCAUUCCGAAGGGUAUGCUCGUUUGAGUGUCAUUGUACUCUCACACUCCCACUCUUUUGGAUUGGGAGCGGUGGACUUGGGUGUUGCUGCUUCACUGUGGCUCGCCUCAAAUGGAGUAGUGCAACUCUCGGUUGAACAUAGUACGGCGUGAUAAGUGUCUUCGCCGGCGCCUCACUAGAGGGUGGCCGAUCGGGAGCUCUGUGCUUCAAACCGUCUUCGGACAAUCUCUGACAACUUGACCUCAAAUCGAGUAGGACUACCCGCUGAACUUAAGCAUAUCAAUAAGCGGAGGA
This 381-nucleotide unclassified non-coding RNA is filed under the name soil metagenome. Its description in RNAcentral is "partial contains 5.8S ribosomal RNA, internal transcribed spacer 2, and large subunit ribosomal RNA". The stretch from base 1 to 120 matches the Rfam family "5.8S ribosomal RNA", at positions 35 to 154 of the family's 154-position model. The record is from RNAcentral.